UUCUCGUUCCUUUGCUUUCGCUUAAUAGUAGAGAACGUAAGUUGAACAUUUUCCAACGUUCGAGUCCCCAUCUCUUUUUAUCUCCUUUCCUAUUAUUACAGAGUAGAACGAUAAAAAAGAAAUAGAAAUCAAAAUAAUUCCCACUUCUCUCUGUUUUGUCCUUUUUGUACUCUUUCUAUUUACUGGGUGUUGAAAGAAUCUCCGUCAACCUCUACCACGAUCGUGCUCACAAAAGAGGAAUUCCGAUUGUACCUUGUGGUGGUGUUCUCGAUUAAUCCCGCACAAAGCUAUAAGGACAAGAAUAUGA
Molecule: long non-coding RNA, 307 nt
Filed under: Ananas comosus (pineapple)
Lineage: Eukaryota; Viridiplantae; Streptophyta; Magnoliopsida; Poales; Bromeliaceae
Description: long non-coding RNA (ACOM_LNC029022)
Source: RNAcentral